CAAGGAAUAUUGGGCAAUGGGCGAAAGCCUGACCCAGCGACACCGCGUGAAGGAAGAAGGCCCUCGGGUUGUAAACUUCUUUUCCCAGGGAAGAAUAAAAUGACGGUACCUGGGGAAUAAGCCCCGGCUAACUACGUGCCAGCAGCCGCGGUAAUACGUAGGGGGCGAGCGUUAUCCGGAUUUACUGGGCGUAAAGGGGGCGUAGGCGGCUUGUCAAGUCGGACGUGAAAUCUCCCGGCUUAACUGGGAGGGUGCAUUCGAUACUGAUGGGCUAGAGUACAGCAGAGGGAAGUGGAAUUCCCGGUGUAGUGGUGAUAUGCGUAGAUAUCGGGAGGAACACUAGUGGCGAAGGCGGCUUCCUGGGCUGUUACUGACGCUGAGGCCCGAAGGCGUGGGGAGCAAACAGGAUUAGAUACCCUGGUAGUCCACGCAGUAAACGAUGGAUACUAGGUAUGGGGGGUAUCGACCCCCUCCGUGCCGAAGCUAACGCUUUAAGUAUCCCGCCUGGGGACUACGGUCGCAAGACUA
RNAcentral lists this ribosomal RNA (528 nucleotides) under uncultured bacterium. RNAcentral's name for it is "bacterial SSU rRNA". It matches the Rfam family "Bacterial small subunit ribosomal RNA", at positions 355 to 896 of the family's 1533-position model. The record is from RNAcentral.